Molecule: ribosomal RNA, 446 nt
Filed under: uncultured bacterium
Lineage: Bacteria
Description: partial 16S ribosomal RNA
Rfam family: Bacterial small subunit ribosomal RNA
Source: RNAcentral
CCUACGGGAGGCAGCAGUCGAGAAUCAUUCACAAUGGGGGAAACCCUGAUGGUGCGACGCCGCGUGGGGGAAUGAAGGUCUUCGGAUUGUAAACCCCUGUCAUGUGGGAGCAAAUUAAAAAGAUAGUACCACAAGAGGAAGAGACGGCUAACUCUGUGCCAGCAGCCGCGGUAAUACAGAGGUCUCAAGCGUUGUUCGGAAUCACUGGGCGUAAAGCGUGCGUAGGCUGUUUCGUAAGUCGUGUGUGAAAGGCGCGGGCUCAACCCGCGGACGGCACAUGAUACCGCGAGACUAGAGUAAUGGAGGGGGAACCGGAAUUCUCGGUGUAGCAGGGAAAUGCGUAGAUAUCGAGAGGAACACUCGUGGCGAAGGCGGGUUCCUGGACAUUAACUGACGCUGAGGCACGAAGGCCAGGGGAGCGAAAAGGAUUAGAUACCCUUGUAGUC